RNAcentral lists this ribosomal RNA (501 nucleotides) under uncultured bacterium. RNAcentral describes it as "bacterial SSU rRNA". It matches the Rfam family "Bacterial small subunit ribosomal RNA", at positions 19 to 518 of the family's 1533-position model. The record is from RNAcentral.
AUGGCUCAGGAUGAACGCUAGCGGCAGGCUUAAUACAUGCAAGUCGAACGGGAUUCAGGUAGCAAUACUUGAUGAGAGUGGCGCACGGGUGCGUAACACGUAUGCAACCUACCUUUAACUGGUGAAUAGCCCCGGGAAAUCGGGAUUAAUACACCAUAACAUUACAAGAGGGCAUCCUCUAAUAAUUAAAGAACUUCGGUUAAAGAUGGGCAUGCGGGACAUUAGCUAGUUGGUGAGGUAACGGCUCACCAAGGCAACGAUGUCUAGGGGUCCUGAGAGGGUUAUCCCCCACACUGGUACUGAGACACGGACCAGACUCCUACGGGAGGCAGCAGUAAGGAAUAUUGGUCAAUGGGCGCAAGCCUGAACCAGCCAUGCCGCGUGAAGGAAGACGGCGCUAUGCGUUGUAAACUUCUUUUGUCAGGGAAUAAAUGUAGGUACGUGUACUUACUUGAAGGUACCUGAAGAAUAAGCAUCGGCUAACUCCGUGCCAGCCGCCGC